Molecule: ribosomal RNA, 2802 nt
Filed under: Escherichia coli
Lineage: Bacteria; Pseudomonadati; Pseudomonadota; Gammaproteobacteria; Enterobacterales; Enterobacteriaceae
Description: partial 23S ribosomal RNA
Rfam family: Bacterial large subunit ribosomal RNA
Source: RNAcentral
GGGUUGUGAGGUUAAGCGACUAAGCGUACACGGUGGAUGCCCUGGCAGUCAGAGGCGAUGAAGGACGUGCUAAUCUGCGAUAAGCGUCGGUAAGGUGAUAUGAACCGUUAUAACCGGCGAUUUCCGAAUGGGGAAACCCAGUGUGUUUCGACACACUAUCAUUAACUGAAUCCAUAGGUUAAUGAGGCGAACCGGGGGAACUGAAACAUCUAAGUACCCCGAGGAAAAGAAAUCAACCGAGAUUCCCCCAGUAGCGGCGAGCGAACGGGGAGCAGCCCAGAGCCUGAAUCAGUGUGUGUGUUAGUGGAAGCGUCUGGAAAGGCGCGCGAUACAGGGUGACAGCCCCGUACACAAAAAUGCACAUGCUGUGAGCUCGAUGAGUAGGGCGGGACACGUGGUAUCCUGUCUGAAUAUGGGGGGACCAUCCUCCAAGGCUAAAUACUCCUGACUGACCGAUAGUGAACCAGUACCGUGAGGGAAAGGCGAAAAGAACCCCGGCGAGGGGAGUGAAAAAGAACCUGAAACCGUGUACGUACAAGCAGUGGGAGCACGCUUAGGCGUGUGACUGCGUACCUUUUGUAUAAUGGGUCAGCGACUUAUAUUCUGUAGCAAGGUUAACCGAAUAGGGGAGCCGAAGGGAAACCGAGUCUUAACUGGGCGUUAAGUUGCAGGGUAUAGACCCGAAACCCGGUGAUCUAGCCAUGGGCAGGUUGAAGGUUGGGUAACACUAACUGGAGGACCGAACCGACUAAUGUUGAAAAAUUAGCGGAUGACUUGUGGCUGGGGGUGAAAGGCCAAUCAAACCGGGAGAUAGCUGGUUCUCCCCGAAAGCUAUUUAGGUAGCGCCUCGUGAAUUCAUCUCCGGGGGUAGAGCACUGUUUCGGCAAGGGGGUCAUCCCGACUUACCAACCCGAUGCAAACUGCGAAUACCGGAGAAUGUUAUCACGGGAGACACACGGCGGGUGCUAACGUCCGUCGUGAAGAGGGAAACAACCCAGACCGCCAGCUAAGGUCCCAAAGUCAUGGUUAAGUGGGAAACGAUGUGGGAAGGCCCAGACAGCCAGGAUGUUGGCUUAGAAGCAGCCAUCAUUUAAAGAAAGCGUAAUAGCUCACUGGUCGAGUCGGCCUGCGCGGAAGAUGUAACGGGGCUAAACCAUGCACCGAAGCUGCGGCAGCGACGCUGAUGCGUUGUUGGGUAGGGGAGCGUUCUGUAAGCCUGCGAAGGUGUGCUGUGAGGCAUGCUGGAGGUAUCAGAAGUGCGAAUGCUGACAUAAGUAACGAUAAAGCGGGUGAAAAGCCCGCUCGCCGGAAGACCAAGGGUUCCUGUCCAACGUUAAUCGGGGCAGGGUGAGUCGACCCCUAAGGCGAGGCCGAAAGGCGUAGUCGAUGGGAAACAGGUUAAUAUUCCUGUACUUGGUGUUACUGCGAAGGGGGGACGGAGAAGGCUAUGUUGGCCGGGCGACGGUUGUCCCGGUUUAAGCGUGUAGGCUGGUUUUCCAGGCAAAUCCGGAAAAUCAAGGCUGAGGCGUGAUGACGAGGCACUACGGUGCUGAAGCAACAAAUGCCCUGCUUCCAGGAAAAGCCUCUAAGCAUCAGGUAACAUCAAAUCGUACCCCAAACCGACACAGGUGGUCAGGUAGAGAAUACCAAGGCGCUUGAGAGAACUCGGGUGAAGGAACUAGGCAAAAUGGUGCCGUAACUUCGGGAGAAGGCACGCUGAUAUGUAGGUGAGGUCCCUCGCGGAUGGAGCUGAAAUCAGUCGAAGAUACCAGCUGGCUGCAACUGUUUAUUAAAAACACAGCACUGUGCAAACACGAAAGUGGACGUAUACGGUGUGACGCCUGCCCGGUGCCGGAAGGUUAAUUGAUGGGGUUAGCGCAAGCGAAGCUCUUGAUCGAAGCCCCGGUAAACGGCGGCCGUAACUAUAACGGUCCUAAGGUAGCGAAAUUCCUUGUCGGGUAAGUUCCGACCUGCACGAAUGGCGUAAUGAUGGCCAGGCUGUCUCCACCCGAGACUCAGUGAAAUUGAACUCGCUGUGAAGAUGCAGUGUACCCGCGGCAAGACGGAAAGACCCCGUGAACCUUUACUAUAGCUUGACACUGAACAUUGAGCCUUGAUGUGUAGGAUAGGUGGGAGGCUUGGAAGUGUGGACGCCAGUCUGCAUGGAGCCGACCUUGAAAUACCACCCUUUAAUGUUUGAUGUUCUAACGUUGACCCGUAAUCCGGGUUGCGGACAGUGUCUGGUGGGUAGUUUGACUGGGGCGGUCUCCUCCUAAAGAGUAACGGAGGAGCACGAAGGUUGGCUAAUCCUGGUCGGACAUCAGGAGGUUAGUGCAAUGGCAUAAGCCAGCUUGACUGCGAGCGUGACGGCGCGAGCAGGUGCGAAAGCAGGUCAUAGUGAUCCGGUGGUUCUGAAUGGAAGGGCCAUCGCUCAACGGAUAAAAGGUACUCCGGGGAUAACAGGCUGAUACCGCCCAAGAGUUCAUAUCGACGGCGGUGUUUGGCACCUCGAUGUCGGCUCAUCACAUCCUGGGGCUGAAGUAGGUCCCAAGGGUAUGGCUGUUCGCCAUUUAAAGUGGUACGCGAGCUGGGUUUAGAACGUCGUGAGACAGUUCGGUCCCUAUCUGCCGUGGGCGCUGGAGAACUGAGGGGGGCUGCUCCUAGUACGAGAGGACCGGAGUGGACGCAUCACUGGUGUUCGGGUUGUCAUGCCAAUGGCACUGCCCGGUAGCUAAAUGCGGAAGAGAUAAGUGCUGAAAGCAUCUAAGCACGAAACUUGCCCCGAGAUGAGUUCUCCCUGAC